GACGAACGCUGGCGGCGUGCUUAACACAUGCAAGUCGAACGGAAAGGCCCUGCUUUUGUGGGGUGCUCGAGUGGCGAACGGGUGAGUAACACGUGAGUAACCUGCCCUUGACUUUGGGAUAACUUCAGGAAACUGGGGCUAAUACCGGAUAUGAGCUCCUGGUGCGUGGUGUGGGUUGGAAAGUUUCGGCGGUUGGGGAUGUACUCGCGGCUUAUCAGCUUGUUGGUGGGGUAGUGGCUUGCGAAGGCGUUGACGGGUAGCCGGCCUGAGAGGGUGACCGGCGACACUGGGACGGAGAUACCGCCAAGACGCCGAGGGGAGGAAGGAGUGGGGAAUAGAGGACUAUGGGCGGAAGGCUGAGGCAGCAACGCCGCGUGCGGGAUGACGGCCUUCGGGUGGUAAAGCGCAUGCGCCUGGGAUGAAGCGUGAGUGACGGUAAUGGGAAAAGAAGCACCGGCUAACUACGUG
RNAcentral lists this ribosomal RNA (468 nucleotides) under uncultured bacterium. RNAcentral describes it as "partial 16S ribosomal RNA". It matches the Rfam family "Bacterial small subunit ribosomal RNA", at positions 28 to 507 of the family's 1533-position model. The record is from RNAcentral.